Molecule: ribosomal RNA, 427 nt
Filed under: uncultured bacterium
Lineage: Bacteria
Description: bacterial SSU rRNA
Rfam family: Bacterial small subunit ribosomal RNA
Source: RNAcentral
UAGGGAAUCUUCCACAAUGGACGAAAGUCUGAUGGAGCAAUGCCGCGUGCGUGAAGAAGGUUUUCGGAUCGUAAAACUCUGUUGUGAGGGAAGAACAAGUACGAGAGUAACUGCUAGUACCUUGACGGUACCUCAUUAGAACGCCACGGCUAACUACGUGCCAGCAGCCGCGGUAAUACGUAGGUGGCAAGCGUUGUCCGGAAUUAUUGGGCGUAAAGCGCGCGCAGGCGGUCCUUUAAGUCUGAUGUGAAAUCCCACGGCUCAACCGUGGAAGGUCAUUGGAAACUGGGGGACUUGAGUACAGAAGAGGAAAGCGGAAUGCCAAGUGGAGCGGUGAAAUGCGUAGAGAUUUGGAGGAACACCAGUGGCGAAGGCGGCUUUCUGGUCUGUAACUGACGCUGAGGCGCGAAAGCGUGGGGAGCAAACA